UAUGCUAUACUAGUUGAGUUGCCGAGUUUGUAAGGGAAAGGCAUGUCUUUCUUCUUAUUCCUAGCAACCCUUGGCUCUUAGCUUCUUUCGCCAAGCAUAUUACACGCGGUAAAACCGCCAAAGGAGAAUUUGAUG
RNAcentral lists this non-coding RNA (135 nucleotides) under Streptococcus gordonii. RNAcentral describes it as "PreQ1-II sequence". It matches the Rfam family "PreQ1-II (pre queuosine) riboswitch aptamer". Rfam says of the family: Q is a hyper modified nucleoside present in some anticodons in tRNAs (Try, Asn, Asp and His). Lineage: Bacteria; Bacillati; Bacillota; Bacilli; Lactobacillales; Streptococcaceae. The record is from RNAcentral. RNAcentral also lists the same sequence under 1 other name.